UUGAAAGGGAAACGAUUGAAGUCAGUCGUGCUGGCGCGAAAUCAACCUUCUCGUCUUGAGAUCACAUGGCGUGGCGAGCCUCAAAACCGUCACGAAGCGUGAACUCUUGGUGAGAUGGAGCACUUUCGUGUCCGCUGGUUAACAUCAAUUUCGAACGUCAUAAAAAGGCUGGAGGGAUGUGGCUCCUUCGGGAGUGUUAUAACCUUUAGCGGAAUGUGGUGUUCGGGAUUGAGGAUUGCAACGAAUACCUUUAGGGCUGUUCCACCUGGCUUCUCUUUGGUAUCCUGGUGACGACAGCUUGCUGACGUCGUUAGGAUUCGCCUUUGAACAGGCUAGAGUGUGAGCAAAUUCGUUAAGGAUGUUGACGUA
This 369-nucleotide ribosomal RNA is filed under the name uncultured Glomeromycotina. RNAcentral describes it as "LSU rRNA". Lineage: Eukaryota; Fungi; Glomeromycota. The record is from RNAcentral.